UCUAGGGCCUAUUUCCGGCACGGGGAGCCCCAUCCAAUCUGUACCAAAGCGACUUGAACAGCUUCCACUUGGCCCGCUGCGCCGAAUCUAGAGCUUCUACUUCCAUCAUCGCCCAUAGAACGAUCCCCGUCGCCGGAUGGGCAAAGUACCCUCAGAAGCAACGGAGGAGAUGUGAAUCCGUCAUCUUCCCUCGCACUAGGUAGUCCUCAACGUUGAUUUGUUUGGUGAGAGGGAACCACUUGUCUAUCUCCCGGAGCCUCCGCUCCAACUGCAACUCGCCAUGAGCUAGCACCUCGAUCUGCUCCUCCCUCCUCGGCAUAUGACCUCUCACUGCUACGGGCCCCCUCAACUAGAUCUGGAGACGAAGAGGAUGAGUGGAAGAAGUGGGGUGGAGGAAGGAAUGGGAGGAUUUGCCUCUCGGGGCGGCAGCCUGUAGGGGGUAACCGCGCGUCUCCAGUCACUCCGCCAUUAACCACCUCAGGCUCUGCAUCGUGUCGCGGCUCGCAUCAGUUGUGCACCUCACCUAGUCGCGCAACAUGGCACGGGAACUGGACCUUAUCGCCCUCGAUCAGUGUCACAUCAUCACCCCACCGCUUCGUGUCCACCAUGUGCGCCUCCAAGUCGAGGAGGAACCCCGGCCGGAACUUCAACAACUCCAGCGACCUCAGGUCGGGGACAAAUACGCAAAGUUGUGGGCGGCAUAUAUCCAUCUUAUGAUUCUCUCUCUAAUUUUUUAGCAUGUUCUAUCAAGUGAAUCUAUACGUACACCAAAGUGUGUAGUGAUUGUAGAUUGGUCGGCACGCACUAGGCCCUCAUCGCUUGCACCUUCAAUACUUGACGAUCAACACCAAUGUUUGUAGUCGGACCACAAGAUAAAGUAGUAGUGCCACCUCCAGCUCAUACGAGUUUGGUAUUCAAG
Molecule: long non-coding RNA, 919 nt
Filed under: Hordeum vulgare
Lineage: Eukaryota; Viridiplantae; Streptophyta; Magnoliopsida; Poales; Poaceae
Description: long non-coding RNA (HVUL_LNC012964)
Source: RNAcentral